AACAGGUUGAAAAAAGAUUGUGGCCUCACAUUCCACCUGAAGCACAUUGCUUGGUCCAAUCUAUGGUUUUCUUGGUAGAAAGAGCUCUCAAAUGACACCGAAAAGUACUGCAAGAAAGGGGCCAAGACACUGAACAAAGAAGGAAUCUCUGUAAUGACUCAUUGCGUUGAAUGCCCUGGCCAAACAGUGCGCAACUGCAUACUGUGGAGGAGCACACUGGAAGACAUGAUUGCCAGGAAGGAAAUGCAUACUCAUUUGGAGUCAUCGUUCGUCCAAGUCUUGCCAAUUGCUCUUAAUUGCAGCGAGCAAUCACGCCAUGCUCCAUACUCAGAAACCGUGCUCUAAGCUGGGUUUUUACUCACUCGGAGAGACUUCUGUGGAGUAGUCGAAGCAUCAUCUGUAAUCCUUUGGACUUCAUCAGGGCCAAAGAAGAUAAAUUUUUAUUCAACUAUCAUGAAAUGACCUGGGCACACCAAGAGCCUGCAUUAUUUUUGUUUAUUUGCUCCUUGUGAAAUUACCCGGCGCCCUCCAGUGCCUGCAUUGACUGUGUAUAAGGACCGAUGCUAUGAAUUCGUGGCUUUGUUUCAAUAAAACAUGGCAUCAACAAUUUUCCCCACC
This is a long non-coding RNA of Rhipicephalus microplus (southern cattle tick), 618 nucleotides long. NCBI's taxonomy places the organism in Eukaryota, Metazoa, Arthropoda, Arachnida, Ixodida, Ixodidae. The record is from RefSeq and is a predicted model, not a curated record.